GUCUUCGGCCAUACCACGUUGAAAGCACCAGUUCUCGUCCGAUCACUGAAGUUAAGCAACGUCGGGCUCGGUUAGUACUUGGAUGGGUGACCGCCUGGGAACACCGAGUGCUGUAGACU
RNAcentral lists this ribosomal RNA (119 nucleotides) under Lottia gigantea (owl limpet). The record is from RNAcentral. Lineage: Eukaryota; Metazoa; Mollusca; Gastropoda; Lottiidae.